UGCCUCCAGGAUGGGGACAACAGACGGAAACGACUGCUAAUACCGAAUAAGUUCCAAGAGCCGCAUGGCCCAUGGAAGAAAAGGUGGCCUCUACCUGUAAGCUAUCGCCUGAAGAGGGGUUUGCGUCUGAUUAGCUGGUUGGAGGGGUAACGGCCCACCAAGGCGACGAUCAGUAGCCGGUCUGAGAGGAUGAACGGCCACACUGGAACUGAGACACGGUCCAGACUCCUACGGGAGGCAGCAUG
RNAcentral lists this ribosomal RNA (245 nucleotides) under uncultured bacterium. RNAcentral describes it as "partial 16S ribosomal RNA". It matches the Rfam family "Bacterial small subunit ribosomal RNA", at positions 127 to 353 of the family's 1533-position model. The record is from RNAcentral.